Molecule: ribosomal RNA, 253 nt
Filed under: uncultured bacterium
Lineage: Bacteria
Description: partial 16S ribosomal RNA
Rfam family: Bacterial small subunit ribosomal RNA
Source: RNAcentral
UACGUAGGGUGCAAGCGUUGUCCGGAAUUAUUGGGCGUAAAGAGCUCGUAGGCGGUCUGUUACGUCUGCUGUGAAAACCCGGGGCUUAACCCUGGGCUUGCAGUGGAUACGGGCAGACUAGAGGCAGGUAGGGGAGAAUGGAAUUCCCGGUGUAGCGGUGAAAUGCGCAGAUAUCAGGAGGAACACCGAUGGCGAAGGCAGUGGUCUGGGCCGAUACUGACGCUGAGGAGCGAAAGCGUGGGGAGCGAACAGG